UUGCGAUGGUCCCUGCGGAUG
RNAcentral lists this small nuclear RNA (21 nucleotides) under Arabidopsis thaliana (thale cress). Its description in RNAcentral is "snRNA_15833". The record is from RNAcentral. Lineage: Eukaryota; Viridiplantae; Streptophyta; Magnoliopsida; Brassicales; Brassicaceae.